This 465-nucleotide ribosomal RNA is filed under the name uncultured bacterium. Its description in RNAcentral is "partial 16S ribosomal RNA". It matches the Rfam family "Bacterial small subunit ribosomal RNA", at positions 28 to 507 of the family's 1533-position model. The record is from RNAcentral.
GACGAACGCUGGCGGCGUGCUUAACACAUGCAAGUCGAACGGAAAGGCCCUGCUUGCAGGGUACUCGAGUGGCGAACGGGUGAGUAACACGUGGGUGAUCUGCCCUGCACUUCGGGAUAAGCCUGGGAAACUGGGUCUAAUACCGGAUAGGAGCCAUUUUUAGUGUGAUGGUUGGAAAGUUUUUUCGGUGUAGGAUGAGCUCGCGGCCUAUCAGCUUGUUGGUGGGGUAAUGGCCUACCAAGGCGGCGACGGGUAGCCGGCCUGAGAGGGUGGACGGCCACAUUGGGACUGAGAGGCGGCCCAGACUCCUACGGGAGGCAGCAGGGGGGAAUAUUGCACAAUGGGCGCAAGCCGGAUGCAGCGACGCCGCGUGGGGGAUGACGGCCUUCGGGUUGUAAACUCCUUUCGCUAGGGACGAAGCUUUUUGUGACGGUACCUAGAUAAGAAGCACCGGCUAACUACGUG